GCUAGAUAUUUUAUAUACACCUAGGAUGGCUUGAGGGUGAGUAAAGCUUGGGCUAAUUUUCAUUUGAAAGUGAACUAAUCCUUUAAAGUAAUGAAAUACUCCAUAAAUAAAAAGGAUAACUACUGUACAUAAUCAUUUUAAGUUUAAGAAAGUUAAUUCUUUGAGGACCAGCAAAUUUCUCUUUUUUUUUUUUUCCUUUUUUCACAUUAUUUGUCUGAUAAAUUGUUUAAAUAUUUUCAAAAUGGAAGAGGCAUCCAUUUAAUAAAAUAAUUCCAUUUACCAUCAUAUUAAUCAUCCAUUGUGAAGGCCUCAUCGACACGACAGCCAGUGGCACAGUUCCUCAACAAACCGUCCAUACCGGCGUGAUGAAUACGAUCCUCAACUGGAUUGAACUGGAAUAAAUACUUUGAAUGUUGAGAUCCUAUCGGGCUUAUGAUAGCUACCUGAAUCGUAACAAAGCACUGUUUGCCAGAGGAGAACUGGCCCCCUGACUAAGCCUGGUUUCUCCCAAGGUUUUUUUCUCCAUUUUAACACCAAUUUGCCACUUGUCUGCCACCUGAUGUCACCUGAUGGAGUUUGGGUUCCUUGCCGCUGUCGCCUCUGGCUUGCUUAGUUGGGGACACUUGACUUGACAUUUUGAUAUUCAACAGUGCUUUUGAUCUGCCUGCAUUGACACUAUUCUUUAAGAGCUGCUGUGCAGUCAAACAAUGUACCAGUUAUCAAUGUAAAGCUGCUUUGACACAAUCUACAUUGUAAAAAGCGCUAUAUAAAUAAAGGUGACUUGACUUGA
Ctenopharyngodon idella (grass carp) is the source of this 790-nucleotide long non-coding RNA. RefSeq lists it as uncharacterized. The record is from RefSeq and is a predicted model, not a curated record. The transcript has 2 exons. Lineage: Eukaryota; Metazoa; Chordata; Actinopteri; Cypriniformes; Xenocyprididae.